Molecule: long non-coding RNA, 787 nt
Filed under: Pongo abelii (Sumatran orangutan)
Lineage: Eukaryota; Metazoa; Chordata; Mammalia; Primates; Hominidae
Description: lincRNA
Source: RNAcentral
UUUGCCACACGGCUUCAGACAUGCGCAGUGCUGCCCCUUUCUAAGGGCAGGGACGAAGGACUGCGGACCUGACAGUUCUUGGGCUUGAGUCCAGCGGCAAGCUCCCUCCUGAGUGUCUGAAACCGUCAGUUCACUGCCUCAUGUGAAAGUACCCAGUUCUUGGUAACCUGACACUUCCCUUUUAAAAGCCACCUUUUCUCUAUCUCUGGCCUGCCACGAUUCUUCCUGUGCUCCAUAGGAGGACCCAUUGGAUCCCCGGGCUGGCUGCAGGGCCCACACCUGGGUUAGACCUCUCACAGGGACGCUGCUGCCACUGUAAUAAAGCGUGCCUACACGCUUCUGAAACUGGUGAAGGCACAACCUCAGUUCUGUGAAAGGCGGACACAGCAGGACAGAAUCUCCGUGGACAUCUGUCUGGAGGAGGAAUUUUACUGCGACAUUUUAAAGAAACAAAUUUAAUCGAUUUCCAAGGGUGUCCGUCGUGCUUCCUUCACUGCCUUGAUCAUGUUGGGGUCACCACCUGCGGGGGUUUGUCCUGCAAACCCUGACUGAACGUCGGAUGAAUAAUGUACACUGACACAGAUCUUAUGCUUGUCAGUCCUGCUGAGCAUCCAGGCCACUUACAGACUCCAAGAAGAGUCCUGUCAGCCACGGCUCUGACUUGUUGGCCCUCCCGGCAUUUAUUUAGCACACAUUUAAUGACAGAAGUCUCAGGUUGGAAACACUUUUACUGUAUUAUCUACGAAGAAACGUUUAUGAGGCCAUUAAGUCCUAUACUGAAAAACUG